RNAcentral lists this ribosomal RNA (330 nucleotides) under uncultured bacterium. RNAcentral describes it as "bacterial SSU rRNA". It matches the Rfam family "Bacterial small subunit ribosomal RNA", at positions 568 to 898 of the family's 1533-position model. The record is from RNAcentral.
CGUGUAGGCGGCUCAUCAAGUCUGGUGUGAAAACGCAGGGCUCAACCCUGCGGUUGCGCUGGAAACUGGUGGGCUUGAGUUCUUGAGGGGAAGCUGGAAUUCCAGGUGUAGGGGUGAAAUCUGUAGAUAUCUGGAAGAACACCGGUGGCGAAGGCGAGCUUCUAUCAGGGGACUGACGCUGAGGCGCGAAAGCGUGGGGAGCAAACAGGAUUAGAUACCCUGGUAGUCCACGCUGUAAACGAUGUGCACUAGGCGUGGGGCACGUACGUGCUCUGUGCCGUAGUUAACGUGAUAAGUGCACCGCCUGGGGAGUAUGCUCGCAAGGGUGAA